This 43-nucleotide ribosomal RNA is filed under the name Molinadendron guatemalense. RNAcentral describes it as "partial 26S ribosomal RNA". The record is from RNAcentral. Lineage: Eukaryota; Viridiplantae; Streptophyta; Magnoliopsida; Saxifragales; Hamamelidaceae.
UUCCAUCGCGACCCCAGGUCAGGCGGGACUACCCGCUGAGUUU